UUUAAAUUUUAAAAUUUGAGAUUGUCACGCCUCGGAUUAUCACGUUUUCCCAGGCACGUUAACAGACCCGCCGUAUACAAAAAAAUUUCUUCUGUAUACGAAGUGAUAGCUGUAUCUGUAAACAAACCAAGCUACAACCACAGGUAAAGAGCUGCAAAACACAACAGAAUAUAUAGAUAAAACAUCAGGUUUAAUGACACUAGGUUCAAUGGCAUUUUCCACCUAGGUUCACUCGACUUUAGGUUUAAUGACAUUCCAAUCAUGUUCUUUCUUUAUCCUAAUUGUCCACACCUAGGAUUCAUAACUUCAUGACAUCUAGUCCUUGAUUUCACACUUGUCAAGUUCUUUAAUUGUUUCUAGAGUUCAUCAACCUUUGUUCAUUAUCCA
This 387-nucleotide long non-coding RNA is filed under the name Ananas comosus (pineapple). RNAcentral describes it as "long non-coding RNA (ACOM_LNC001791)". The record is from RNAcentral. Lineage: Eukaryota; Viridiplantae; Streptophyta; Magnoliopsida; Poales; Bromeliaceae.